AUACUAAAUUUGAAGACACCUUAACAAAUGAGGAUAAGAGCAUAUUCAUCAUGAAAAAUUCAAAAAUUCUACCGAGCGUCGUUAGCUCAAUUGGUAAAAUUCCUAGACGAAUCUUAGAGGUUGCCGGUUCGAGUGACGCUUGGGACGAAACUAAUAUUAUAUGCGGUGGUUUUGGGCCUGGAGGGAUUACAAGAUUCGGCCCAAAACCUCCUGAUAUUCAAAAAAAAA
RNAcentral lists this small RNA (228 nucleotides) under Arabidopsis thaliana (thale cress). Its description in RNAcentral is "ATSL143830". Lineage: Eukaryota; Viridiplantae; Streptophyta; Magnoliopsida; Brassicales; Brassicaceae. The record is from RNAcentral.